GAAACGGGUGGUAAUGCCGGAUGCUCCGACUCCUCGCAUGGGGUGUCGGGAAAGAUUUCAUCGGUAUGGGAUGGGGUCGCGUCCUAUCAGGUAGUCGGCGGGGUAACGGCCCACCGAGCCUACGACGGGUAGCCGGCCUGAGAGGGCGACCGGCCACAUUGGGACUGAGAUACGGCCCAGACUCCUACGGGAGGCAGCAGUGGGGAAUAUUGCACAAUGGGCGCAAGCCUGAUGCAGCGACGCCGCGUGCGGGAUGACGGCCUUCGGGUUGUAAACCGCUUUUGAUCGGGAGCAAGCCUUCGGGUGAGUGUACCUUUCGAAUAAGCACCGGCUAACUACGUGCCAGCAGCCGCGGUAAUACGUAGGGUGCAAGCGUUAUCCGGAAUUAUUGGGCGUAAAGGGCUCGUAGGCGGUUCGUCGCGUCCGGUGUGAAAGUCCAUCGCUUAACGGUGGAUCUGCGCCGGGUACGGGCGGGCUGGAGUGCGGUAGGGGAGACUGGAAUUCCCGGUGUAACGGUGGAAUGUGUAAAU
This 530-nucleotide ribosomal RNA is filed under the name Bifidobacterium pseudocatenulatum. RNAcentral's name for it is "bacterial SSU rRNA". It matches the Rfam family "Bacterial small subunit ribosomal RNA", at positions 153 to 695 of the family's 1533-position model. Lineage: Bacteria; Bacillati; Actinomycetota; Actinomycetes; Bifidobacteriales; Bifidobacteriaceae. The record is from RNAcentral.